This is a long non-coding RNA of Haemorhous mexicanus (house finch), 265 nucleotides long. RefSeq lists it as uncharacterized. The transcript is spliced from 2 exons. NCBI's taxonomy places the organism in Eukaryota, Metazoa, Chordata, Aves, Passeriformes, Fringillidae. The record is from RefSeq and is a predicted model, not a curated record.
CAUAGAAAGGGGAAGGAAGGUUGUGUGUCAGGUCACUUGCAGAUGCCUGGGAAGGUCUAUGUCCCUUGAGAAAGAAAUGCCUUCCAACACUGUCUUCAUAAACUAACUGACACAGGACUCAAAGGGAUUUCAUUCUAAGCUCUUCAUUCAAGAUGUUUCCAGAAGAGGAAGAAAGCUUUUAAAGCAUCUACUCCCCCAGCACAACAUUUGUUAUGACUAAUAUGCCUCUCAUGCUCUGAAUGAUAAAGAAGCAACUGUGCAGUGA